Molecule: ribosomal RNA, 510 nt
Filed under: uncultured bacterium
Lineage: Bacteria
Description: partial 16S ribosomal RNA
Rfam family: Bacterial small subunit ribosomal RNA
Source: RNAcentral
GACGAACGCUGGCGGCGUGCUUAACACAUGCAAGUCGAACGAAGAGCGAUGGAAGCUUGCUUCUAUCAAUCUUAGUGGCGCACGGGUGAGUAACGCGUAAUCAACCUGCCCUUCAGAGGGGGACAACAGUUGGAAACGACUGCUAAUACCGCAUACGAUCCAAUCUCGGCAUCGGGACUGGAUGAAAGGUGGCCUCUAUUUAUAAGCUAUCACUGAAGGAGGGGAUUGCGUCUGAUUAGCUAGUUGGAGGGGUAACGGCCCACCAAGGCGAUGAUCAGUAGCCGGUCUGAGAGGAUCAACGGCCACAUUGGGACUGAGACACGGCCCAGACUCCUACGGGAGGCAGCAGUGGGGAAUCUUCCGCAAUGGACGAAAGUCUGACGGAGCAACGCCGCGUGAGUGAUGACGGCCUUCGGGUUGUAAAGCUCUGUUAAUCGGGACGAAUGGUUCUUGUGCGAAUAGUGCGAGGAUUUGACGGUACCGGAAUAGAAAGCCACGGCUAACUACGUG